RNAcentral lists this ribosomal RNA (460 nucleotides) under uncultured bacterium. RNAcentral describes it as "partial 16S ribosomal RNA". It matches the Rfam family "Bacterial small subunit ribosomal RNA", at positions 338 to 795 of the family's 1533-position model. The record is from RNAcentral.
CCUACGGGGUGCUGCAGUGAGGAAUAUUGGUCAAUGGACGAGAGUCUGAACCAGCCAAGUAGCGUGUAGGAUGACUGCCCUAUGGGUUGUAAACUUCUUUUAUAUGGGAAUAAAAUGUUCCACGUGUGGGAUUUUGUAUGUACCAUAUGAAUAAGGAUCGGCUAACUCCGUGCCAGCAGCCGCGGUAAUACGGAGGAUCCGAGCGUUAUCCGGAUUUAUUGGGUUUAAAGGGAGCGUAGGUGGAUUGUUAAGUCAGUUGUGAAAGUUUGCGGCUCAACCGUAAAAUUGCAGUUGAAACUGGCAGUCUUGAGUACAGUAGAGGUGGGCGGAAUUCGUGGUGUAGCGGUGAAAUGCUUAGAUAUCACGAAGAACUCCGAUUUCGAAGGCAGUUCACUGGACUGCAACUGACACUGAGGCUCGAAAGUGUGGGUAUCAAACAGGAUUAGAUACCCCUGUAGUC